UUUAUAUAAAAAUAUUUAUUCAGGUGACAGUAAAAGAACAUGAUUGUUGUUGGCUGAUUGUUUUAAAUGAUCAGAUUUGAUAUUUAUUCUUUUAUCUCUGUAACAUUAAUAAACUACAGUAUUGUGCAAAAGGCUUCAAAUAUAAUGAAAUAUUAUAUUUUAGUGUUUAAUGAGGAAUCAACGUUAACUUAAUCUCCACAUUACAAGAGAGAGAGAGAGUUAAUGUUGUGAUCUGGAGUGUGUUCACUGUGAGAUUUGACUUCCAGGAACAGUGUGUGUAUAAAACACAAAAUAAGAGAAGUGUGAACACUAUCACAGGAAGUGUUUAUGUUAAAAUGAUGAUUACAUGCUGGUUAAAUUAUUAAAACUAAUAAAUGACAACAAAUAUCUGUGUAUAUAAAAAUGUCUCUGUUACUGAACACUUUUAGGAACAUUUUCAUUUUCUCUGUAACAUUUAAUGGUUUUUAAUAUUUGUUUGUGUCAGUAAUAAAACCUAGUAUUUCUUUUCUCAGUACUGUAUAUGAACAGCAGGGGGCAGAGUUGUGUGUAAUAGAUAUAAUUUAUAAUGUAAUUCCAGGACAACGCCCUUUAAAACCAGGGAACAGAUCUGUGUGAGCUAAAAUGAACAAACUAAAGUAAUGAUGAACUGC
This is a long non-coding RNA of Tachysurus fulvidraco (yellow catfish), 650 nucleotides long. RefSeq lists it as uncharacterized. The transcript has 2 exons. NCBI's taxonomy places the organism in Eukaryota, Metazoa, Chordata, Actinopteri, Siluriformes, Bagridae. The record is from RefSeq and is a predicted model, not a curated record.